RNAcentral lists this ribosomal RNA (460 nucleotides) under uncultured bacterium. Its description in RNAcentral is "partial 16S ribosomal RNA". It matches the Rfam family "Bacterial small subunit ribosomal RNA", at positions 338 to 795 of the family's 1533-position model. The record is from RNAcentral.
CCUACGGGAGGCAGCAGUGAGGAAUAUUGGUCAAUGGGCGAACGCCUGAACCAGCCAAGUCGCGUGAGGGAAGACGGCCCUAUGGGUUGUAAACCUCUUUUGUCAGGGAGCAAUUCGGUCUACGCGUAGGCUUAGUGAGAGUACCUGAAGAAAAAGCAUCGGCUAACUCCGUGCCAGCAGCCGCGGUAAUACGGAGGAUGCGAGCGUUAUCCGGAUUUAUUGGGUUUAAAGGGUGCGUAGGCGGAAUGCCAAGUCAGCGGUAACAAUGCGGGGCUCAACCUCGUCGUGCCGUUGAAACUGAUGUUCUUGAGUGGGCGAGAAGUAUGCGGAAUGCGUGGUGUAGCGGUGAAAUGCAUAGAUAUCCCGCAGAACUCCGAUUGCGAAGGCAGCAUACCGGCGCCCAACUGACGCUGAAGCACGAAAGCGUGGGUAUCGAACAGGAUUAGAUACCCGUGUAGUC